AGUCGAACGAAGUAGCAAUACUUAGUGGCAGACGGGUGAGUAACAUGUAGGUAUCUGCCCUUUGGCCUGGAAUAACACGAGGAAACUUGUGCUAAUACCGGAUAAGUCUUUACGGAGAAAGCUUUAUGCACCAUUGGAUGAGCCUGCACUUGAUUAGUUUGUUGGUGGGGUAAUGGCCUACCAAGACUGUGAUCAAUAGCUGAUUUGAGAGGAUGAUCAGCCACAUUGGGACUGAGACACGGCCCAAACUCCUACGGGAGGCAGCAGUGGGGAAUCUUGCACAAUGGAGGAAACUCUGAUGCAGCGAUGCCGCGUGAGUGAAGAAGGCCUUUGGGUUGUAAAGCUCUUUCGUCGGGGAAGAAAAUGACUGUACCCGAAUAAGAAGGUCCGGCUAACUUCGUGCCAGCAGCCGCGGUAAUACGAAGGGACCUAGCGUAGUUCGGAAUUACUGGGCUUAAAGAGUUCGUAGGUGGUUGAAAUAGUUGGUGGUGAAAUCCCAGAGCUUAACUCUGGAACUGCCAUCAAAACUUUUCAGCUAGAGUAUGAUAGAGGAAAGCAGAAUUUCUAGUGUAGAGGUGAAAUUCGUAGAUAUUAGAAAGAAUACCAAUUGCGAAGGCAGCUUUCUGGAUCAUUACUGACACUGAGGAACGAAAGCAUGGGUAGCGAAGAGGAUUAGAUACCCUCGUAGUCCAUGCCGUAAACGAUGUGUGUUAGACGUUGGAAAUUUAUUUUCAGUGUCGCAGGGAAACCGAUAAACACACCGCCUGGGGAGUACGACCGCAAGGUUAAAACUCAAAUGAAUUGACGGGGACCCGCACAAGUAGUGGAGCAUGUGGUUUAAUUCGAAGAUACGCGCAGAACCUUACCAACACUUGACAUGUUCGUCGCGACUCUAAGAGAUUAGAGUUUUCGGUUCGGCCGGACGAAACACAGGUGCUGCAUGGCUGUCGUCAGCUCGUGUCGUGAGAUGUUGGGUUAAGUCCCGCAACGAGCGCAACCCUCACUUUUAGUUGCCAUCAUUAAGUUGGGCACUCUGAAAGAACUGCCAGUGAUAAGCUGGAGGAAGGUGGGGAUGACGUCAAGUCCUCAUGGCCCUUACGUGUUGGGCUACACACGUGCUACAAUGGUAUCUACAACAGGAAGCAAGACUGCGAAGUUAAGCAAAUCCCUAAAAGAUACCUCAGUUCGGAUUGCACUCUGCAACUCGAGUGCAUGAAGCUGGAAUUACUAGUAAUCGUGGAUCAGCGUGCCACGGUGAAUGCGUUCCCGGGUCUUGUACACACCGCCCGUCACACCAUGGGAGUUGGUUCUACCUUAAGGCAAGGUUUUAAA
This 1332-nucleotide ribosomal RNA is filed under the name uncultured Pelagibacterales bacterium. RNAcentral describes it as "bacterial SSU rRNA". It matches the Rfam family "Bacterial small subunit ribosomal RNA". Lineage: Bacteria; Pseudomonadati; Pseudomonadota; Alphaproteobacteria; Candidatus Pelagibacterales. The record is from RNAcentral.